Molecule: ribosomal RNA, 965 nt
Filed under: Acinetobacter sp.
Lineage: Bacteria; Pseudomonadati; Pseudomonadota; Gammaproteobacteria; Moraxellales; Moraxellaceae
Description: bacterial SSU rRNA
Rfam family: Bacterial small subunit ribosomal RNA
Source: RNAcentral
GCGCUGGGCGGCGGCUUACACAUGCAGUCGAGCGGAGAGAGGUAGCUUGCUACUGAUCUUAGCGGCGGACGGGUGAGUAAUGCUUAGGAAUCUGCCUAUUAGUGGGGGACAACAUUUCGAAAGGAAUGCUAAUACCGCAUACGUCCUACGGGAGAAAGCAGGGGAUCUUCGGACCUUGCGCUAAUAGAUGAGCCUAAGUCGGAUUAGCUAGUUGGUGGGGUAAAGGCCUACCAAGGCGACGAUCUGUAGCGGGUCUGAGAGGAUGAUCCGCCACACUGGGACUGAGACACGGCCCAGACUCCUACGGGAGGCAGCAGUGGGGAAUAUUGGACAAUGGGCGGAAGCCUGAUCCAGCCAUGCCGCGUGUGUGAAGAAGGCCUUAUGGUUGUAAAGCACUUUAAGCGAGGAGGAGGCUACUUUAGUUAAUACCUAGAGAUAGUGGACGUUACUCGCAGAAUAAGCACCGGCUAACUCUGUGCCAGCAGCCGCGGUAAUACAGAGGGUGCAAGCGUUAAUCGGAUUUACUGGGCGUAAAGCGCGCGUAGGCGGCUAAUUAAGUCAAAUGUGAAAUCCCCGAGCUUAACUUGGGAAUUGCAUUCGAUACUGGUUAGCUAGAGUGUGGGAGAGGAUGGUAGAAUUCCAGGUGUAGCGGUGAAAUGCGUAGAGAUCUGGAGGAAUACCGAUGGCGAAGGCAGCCAUCUGGCCUAACACUGACGCUGAGGUGCGAAAGCAUGGGGAGCAAACAGGAUUAGAUACCCUGGUAGUCCAUGCCGUAAACGAUGUCUACUAGCCGUUGGGGCCUUUGAGGCUUUAGUGGCGCAGCUACGCGAUAAGUAGACCGCCUGGGGAGUACGGUCGCAGACUAAACUCAAUGAAUUGACGGGGGCCCGCACAGCGGUGGAGCAUGUGGUUUAAUUCGAUGCAACGCGAAGAACCUUACCUGGCCUUGACAUAGUAAGAACUUU